AAAACGGCUGUCUAAGUUAUAAGCAAUUAUACCGUGAAACUGCGAAUGGCUCAUUAAAUCAGUUAUCGUUUAUUUGAUAAUACCUCUACUUGGAUAACCGUGGUAAUUCUAGAGCUAAUACAUGCUGAAAAUCCCGACUUCGGAAGGGAUGUGUUUAUUAGAUAAAAAACCAAUGCCCUUCGGGGCUUUUUGGUGAUUCAUGAUAACUUUACGGAUCGCAUAGCCUUGCGCUGGCGACGGUUCAUUCAAAUUUCUGCCCUAUCAACUUUCGAUGGUAAGGUAUUGGCUUACCAUGGUUUCAACGGGUAACGGGGAAUUAGGGUUCGAUUCCGGAGAGGGAGCCUGAGAAACGGCUACCACAUCCAAGGAAGGCAGCAGGCGCGCAAAUUACCCAAUCCCGACACGGGGAGGUAGUGACAAUAAAUACUGAUACAGGGCUCUUUUGGGUCUUGUAAUUGGAAUGAGUACAAUUUAAACCUCUUAACGAGGAACAAUUGGAGGGCAAGUCUGGUGCCAGCAGCCGCGGUAAUUCCAGCUCCAAUAGCGUAUAUUAAAGUUGUUGCAGUUAAAAAGCUCGUAGUUGAAACUUGGGCCUGGCUGGCGGGUCCGCCUCACCGCGUGCACUCGUCCGGCCGGGCCUUCCUUCUGAAGAACCUCAUGCCCUUCACUGGGCGUGCUGGGGAAUCAGGACUUUUACUUUGAAAAAAUUAGAGUGUUCAAAGCAGGCCUUUGCUCGAAUACGUUAGCAUGGAAUAAUAAAAUAGGGCGUGCGUUUCUAUUUUGUUGGUUUCUAGAGACGCCGCAAUGAUUAACAGGAACAGUCGGGGGCAUCAGUAUUCAGUUGUCAGAGGUGAAAUUCUUGGAUUUACUGAAGACUAACUACUGCGAAAGCAUUUGCCAAGGAUGUUUUCAUUAAUCAGGAACGAAAGUUAGGGGAUCGAAGACGAUCAGAUACCGUCGUAAUCUUAACCGUAAACUAUGCCGACUAGGGAUCGGGCGAUGUUCUUUUUCUGACUCGCUCGGCACCUUACGAACAAUCAAAGUUUUUGGUUCUGGGGGGAUUAUGGUCCCAAGGCUGAAACUUAAGAAAUUGACGGAAGGUCCCCCCAAGGCUGGAACCUGCGGUUUAUUUGACUCCAACCGGGGAAAUCCCCAGGGCCCAAUGAAAAAAGAAAAAAAAAUGGAAACUUUUUUUUUUUUGGGGGGGGUGGGGGGUAUAAAACGGGGACAAUUUCUGUUAUGGGAAACAAAAA
Molecule: ribosomal RNA, 1253 nt
Filed under: Alternaria sp.
Lineage: Eukaryota; Fungi; Ascomycota; Dothideomycetes; Pleosporales; Pleosporaceae
Description: SSU rRNA
Rfam family: Eukaryotic small subunit ribosomal RNA
Source: RNAcentral